UAUACUUUUGCUUCUAAUCCUAAUUGGGUUCAUUAUAUUAGAAGAGUGUUUAAUCCUACUUAUAAAGGUUGUCCUCGCGCAACAGUUAAGAGUGAUAUUUAUAAAUUCAAACAUGAAUAUGAACAAUAUUUGCGUUAUUUAUUUACUCAUAUACCUAAUCGGAUUUCUAUUACUACUGAUAUUGGUAGAAGUGGUAAUGAUUGUGAUUACCUAACUGUUACAAGUCAUUGGAUAGAUGAAGAAUGGAUAAUGCAAAAACGCAUAAUUGCAUAUAGAAUAAUUAAUUCGCGUCACACAGGUAAAUUUAUAGCUAACACUGUUGCAGAUAUUUG
Molecule: non-coding RNA, 332 nt
Organism: Nicotiana tabacum (common tobacco)
Lineage: Eukaryota; Viridiplantae; Streptophyta; Magnoliopsida; Solanales; Solanaceae
Source: RefSeq, a predicted model, not a curated record